UACGUAGGCAGCAAGCGUUGUUCGGAAUUACUGGGCGUAAAGAGUGUGUAGGCGGUGCUCUAAGUUCGGUGUGAAAUCUCCCGGCUUAACUGGGAGGGUGCGCCGGAAACUGGAGUGCUUGAGCGCGGGAGAGGGAAAGCGGAAGUCCUGGUGUAGCGGUGAAAUGCGUAGAUAUCAGGAGGAACACCUGUGGUGUAGACGGCUUUCUGGACCGUAGCUGACGCUGAGACACGAAAGCGUGGGUAGCAAACAGG
RNAcentral lists this ribosomal RNA (254 nucleotides) under uncultured bacterium. RNAcentral describes it as "partial 16S ribosomal RNA". It matches the Rfam family "Bacterial small subunit ribosomal RNA", at positions 524 to 776 of the family's 1533-position model. The record is from RNAcentral.